CACUGGGGUUUCCCGUGUAUUAAUGGACGGACUAUGACACUCUUAAGAGCACGUCCCGUGAGUCAGUUAGUUAGUUAGUUAGUUAGUUAGUUAGUCAGUCAGUCAGUCAGUCAGUUACUUAGUUAGUUAGUCAGCCAGUUACUUAGUUAGUUAGUUAGUCAGUUACUUAGUUAGUUAGUUAGUUAGUUAGUUAGUUAGUUUAUAAUCUCUUUGUGAAAGUCUUGUGUGUCUUUGCACAUGUUGCUUUGUCUCCAUGUACUCAUGCAUCCUUUUUCUUUUGUUGCCGUGUUCCUUUUGUGGUCCUUUUGUCAUUCUUAUGUACUCUGAAUCUCUGUAGUAAUGUCGUUUUUGUUUCGUUCUUUUCCUUUUGCAUGUUUUCUGUAGUGCAGUGCAGUUCAGUCAUUGGGUGUCCCAUGUGGGGAACUUGACUGUGCACAACAUGAAAGACAACAAAACGGCAGUGGGGUCAGCUGACCUCUCAAAGUGCUGCAAUGCUAAGAAUGAUGCUGACAUGGUGGGCACCCUCGAGAAGGUUUGUUAAUUCAAAAGCCUUAAUACUUAAGAGGGCAUUGUCCUCUUCUAACGUACCAGUAAAUCUCGCUCCACCUUUCCACAUUUACGGUAUGAUUAAUAUGCUAUACAUUAAAAAUGUUGACAGUGAUACAAUGAUGUACAUUUACAGAAUCAACAAUGCCUUCCGUUAUCGCUUCCCUCUUCUUUCCUCCUCCCUGUCUGUCUACCCAGAUGGCGUGUGGAGCUGUGCAGCAGUGGCACAGGGUAUAGGUUUGGGGCCAUGGCUGGGCCAAGAGUGCAGACACAGGUGUGUGUGGCCUGUCUUUUCCUUUGGGACCGCCAUGCAACAGUGGCCCCUGAGCUAACAGUGCCAUCCGUUCUCACCAAGCUGGACCCCUGACUCCCUGUGGCCCCAGCUCCCCUGCUCCCAAAGCCCAGGGAAGCAGCAGCCGUGCUGGCUGGCCCAACACCCCAUACCCCUUCAGCCCAUCCCAGGUCGCUUUGAAGUGGCUUCAGGAGAGAGAGGUCAGCCUCGCCCCGGAGACCCGCAUUGAGGUAGGGACAGCUGCGGUCAGACAGAUCCUGUGCAGGGGAUACGUACACACAAGAACUUGCACACACGCACAUACACCAAUGCACACACGAGACCCGACAAGAGCAGCUGCAGCCACACUGUUGAAGGUGUGCUGUACAGCAGGACAGCUUGGGAGCCAGUAUGGUCCAGCACGGCUCUACUGUGCUCUGUUCUCUUCUGGGUCACCUACUUUGCAUUCAGGUGUGAAAUUCAGGUGAUAAAAUGUAUAUAUAUUUAAAGUAACUUCCAGAAUUCAGGUUCAUUCUAAUAAAGAAAGACUGUAGAAUAUAAUCUAUAACUUUGAUUCACACACAUUGUCAACAAAUUGAACAUUACCGCCACUCUACUCAAAGGGAUCAUUUGUGGCAGGGAUAUUGUACUGUAAGAUGUUCCUGUUAUUUUGUCCUUCCCCAGUAUGUGAUGACGAUGGCUUAGUUUAAAAAAUGUAUCAGUGCACCUAAGCAAACUGAAUGUGUUCAACUUGCAAACUGUGCGCCGAUAAGACGACAAGGUUAGUUUUUUUCUUUUAAGUUAGAGUUUAUGUUUGUGUUUUUGUGGGUCUGUGCAUAUGUGUCUACAUGUGUUUGCCUGCUAGCCCGUUUAUCUGCUCAUAUCUGUGCAUAUGUUCACAUUGUCACAUUAUGCAGUGUGUGUGUUUGUGUGUGUGUGUGUGUGUGUGUGUGUGUGUGUGUGCGUGUGGGGGUGGGAGGUUACCUUCUGCUCACGUGCAGACACGUUGUACUCCCUGCAAAAAUACCCUGUUCCACGACUUCCCUAACACACUCAUAAAACACACAUUUAUUUCUAUGAACUGAAUUACAUUUCAAAUCAUACAAUGUUUUACCAUAACUACUCACUUCCAUAUUGUGAAACCACUGCAUUCGAUUUCUCCAGACUCUGAUAUAAGAGGAAAUAUAUCAGGAAAUAUAUGCAACAAAAUAGUCAAUGAGUAAAUGCAAAUAUGGCCUUUUAACAAAUUCUGAUUACAUGCUCAUGAUAAAAGUUCAGUAAACGUAGAAACAUGUCUCUCCAAAUUAUUUUUCUACAACUCUCACUUGCAAUGAUGGCCAGAGAGGUUAUUUGAGUUCAGUGUCUACACUGGAAAGUAGUAUUUCUAAUACUUGUGAGGGCAGGAUUAGUUAUAACUGAGGGUAAAAGUAAUUAUGUGAUUGACCGCUGCUUAGUGGCAGUAAUGUAGGAGUUAUUUUGCUCUAUGGUGAUAAAUAGAAGGAUGAGCCACAAAGCAGAGUCUCUAGAUUUAUAUACUGCUUGGGUUUGAUCUGACACUUACGUCAUAACCCUUCGGCAGUGACUGUCUGUGACCUGCGAGACUGCAUGUUUCAGGGUGAAGUUUGUUCAUGGACGAGUGGAAAAUGCACAUGUAAAAGGCACUUUCUUAUGUUCUGUUGUAUUAGCCGCUGUGUCAUUGUCAGCUACCAGAAAUGUGUGAAUAUCAGUUUUUUUUGGUUCCUAGUGUUCGUAGACAGAUGUUACAUGCAUGAGGUCUGUCACGGCCCGCCAGAACUAAGAACCCUUGUGGACUUUGAAAAGACUCUUUUGAACUCUUUUGACUUUGUGGACUUUAUUGUUUAUGAUGUCUUUGAUAACCCUUCCUUGUGUGUGUAUCUGUUCAUGUGAAGUUCUUUCAUUGUGAUCUCUUGUGUUUUGUUCAUCUGGAGUUUGGUAUUUCUUGUUUUAUUUUGCAGUCUCUUCCUGUCCUCCUUGUAUCUCAUUUGGUCACUUUACGUUUUCUUGUUUGUUUCUUUUUGGUAACUUAACUUAUUAAUCACACCUCUUGCCCUUACCUGCAUUUGGGUCCUGCUCCAUAAAACCUGACAAGGUCUUGGGAGCAGCUCAAAUGAAUAUACACAUGGAUUCUCUGUCUCUCUCGCUGCUCUUCCAGCUGCAUGGUGGCUUUCCACUGGGUGCCAUCAGUGCUGAUUCCACUCAGUGGUGGAGUCAAUGAAGCAGUGGGUCUAUGGCAGAGAGAGCGAGGGAGAGAAAGGGAGGAGACACCUUUGAUCUGUUUUUGUUCCAGAGGAGGGCUGCCGCUGUGUGACCUUGACGUGUGGCGGAACACAUGCACUUGACAAAGCGGAGUAGAGAGAAGAUGCCUUCCCAGGCUGCACAGACAUAAACUUGAGACCGACAUAGAUGCGCGAAGGUCCCAAAAACCUAUUUUCUGAAUUAACAAUUUGCUACAAGCAAAAGACUUAUAUAAACUUGUAUAUGAGGGUUUGUCUCACUCGUGUUCAGUAGGCAUGACAGUGGGAAAAGUAGAACAUGCUAUCGUGCACACAGAUAUUAAAAACAGGUUUGCAGGGAUAGACUGUAACUAAUGCCAUAUUUUCACAUAUAAUUGUCCAUUAAUAAUACAAAAGAUCUGUAUGGUGUAUAUUCAUUUAAUCAAAACCAAUAUGAUCAUUCCUUUCCAUUGCAUUGUGUUGAUCUGUUCGAAGGCAUGUGAUCACUGUUGUAUAAAA
Molecule: long non-coding RNA, 3570 nt
Filed under: Scophthalmus maximus (turbot)
Lineage: Eukaryota; Metazoa; Chordata; Actinopteri; Pleuronectiformes; Scophthalmidae
Description: lncRNA (ENSSMAG00000029257.1)
Source: RNAcentral